UCCGCAAUGGGAGAGGCCGCAACAGUGAGAGGCCCGCGUACCGCAAACAAACAAACAAAACCUCAAAAAACAUAAAACCUACCCCCUGCCUAGGAUUGCUCCAAACUCUAUUAAGAUGCAUCUGGGGGCCCAUCCCUCAACCAGUCCCUGACAACUCAGAGGUGGGGUCCUUUAGGAAGGCAGUGGCUUCCAUUUGGACUUUAUGACAAGAGCUGUUGGACGUGCAAUUCCCCCGCAAAGGAGGGUCUACCUUCCAGGAGAAGAGGGGAGGAGCACUGGGGAGCAAAACAAUUGGGAUCCACUACACUGGAGUGACUAUGUGGCAUAAGGGUUGAGUGUCUACAAACACCUUCCUCCACUUUGACAUCUUGGAGUCCACCUCCCUCCUCUGGUCCUCACGGGGGCCUCCUUCAUGGCUUCCUGGCCCUCUUUAGAGCCACUCUGUUAGCGUCUAAUUAAUAUGCACUUCAUUCCCAGACUACUGCCUGCUAUAGUGUUUGUGUAUGUCAAUGGCUUCCUCCCGCUCUAUGAGGCUGGAAUUCAGCUACAGAACAUGUUUAAUUGGAAACUGCAGUGCUUCUCUCCACCUGGAACCAGGCCAAGUUCCUCAGCGGAGGAGGAGGGGCCUCGCUGUCUCCUCUUCAUCAAUCCCCAGGCAGCACCCCUAGCCUGAGACUAGCACCUCCCCUUUGUUCCCUGCGAUUUGGAGGUUGCUUCCUAACCACGUGGAGCUCUUAGCCCCCAGAGACCACCGCUCCGUUUCAGUUUUCUAAUCAUCCUCUUUCUCCAGGUAAGGUUGCCUGAUGAAAUAUUUGGGACAUCUUUAUACCAAAAACUUUAUUGUUUAUCUGAUAUUCAAAUGUCACUGGGCAGCCUAUAUUUUUAUUUGCUACAUCUGGCAACUCUAUCAGUAAGGCUUCCAUAAAUAUGACCUCUGCCCGCCUGGUGCACCAGGCCACCCAGACAUUCCUCAGCAGGUUUCAACGUGCCUACACGCACCAGGAGUGACAAUCCAGGCUUAAAAUAUUCAGAUUUUCAUGCUGGUUACAUAAAUGUAGUAUGGGUAUCCCCCACUUUUCCAAAGUUCACUUUACACCACUUCACUUUUACGAAAGCCCUACCUAUCAGUAGUACUUGUUUUCGCUAACCAAAAGAAAUCCAAAGAGGAUUUUCACUCUCAGGAGAAGAGAAAAGUGAAAAUAGCGGGGGUUUUGCAGCAGCCAUUAUAGAGGCAGUGCGUGCCCCAAGCAGCGAGAGUGGCCCCGCCAGCUCCUUCCCGGGGAAUGACACUCAGCAUCUCAGCAUCAGGCCGCCAGAGCUUCGAACUGUGUCAGCAUCAGUGCUUUCUCUCCAUUGACUUCGUACAACCGUUAGCAAGAUGUGUCCUAAGGUACAAACAAGCUGAGAGGAAUAUUCCUAUCAACUCUCCCAUUUGACAGCUUCUAUUAAAAGAAAAUCUUCCCGCUUCCUUUCAACAAAAGUGGCCAAAUGUUAUUGCAAUUCAAGUUGCUUCAAGGAAUUUAGAAAACCUACGUGUUUUAUUACUUAAAACACAAUAAAUUACUAUAUACUCAA
Long non-coding RNA from Aethalodelphis obliquidens (Pacific white-sided dolphin), 1575 nucleotides. RefSeq lists it as uncharacterized. The record is from RefSeq and is a predicted model, not a curated record. The transcript is spliced from 2 exons. Lineage: Eukaryota; Metazoa; Chordata; Mammalia; Artiodactyla; Delphinidae.